CUCGACAACGGAUAUCUUGGCUCUCGCAUCGAUGAAGAACGUAGUGAAAUGCGAUACUUGGUGUGAAUUGCAGAAUCCCGUGAACCAUCGAGUCUUUGAACGCAAGUUGCGCCCGAAGCCUUCUGGCCGAGGGCACGUCUGCCUGGGCGUCACA
RNAcentral lists this ribosomal RNA (154 nucleotides) under Hillebrandia sandwicensis. RNAcentral's name for it is "5.8S ribosomal RNA". It matches the Rfam family "5.8S ribosomal RNA". Rfam says of the family: 5.8S ribosomal RNA (5.8S rRNA) is a component of the large subunit of the eukaryotic ribosome. It is transcribed by RNA polymerase I as part of the 45S precursor that also contains 18S and 28S rRNA. Lineage: Eukaryota; Viridiplantae; Streptophyta; Magnoliopsida; Cucurbitales; Begoniaceae. The record is from RNAcentral.